This 161-nucleotide ribosomal RNA is filed under the name uncultured bacterium. RNAcentral describes it as "partial 16S ribosomal RNA". It matches the Rfam family "Bacterial small subunit ribosomal RNA", at positions 393 to 539 of the family's 1533-position model. The record is from RNAcentral.
CAUGCCGCGUGUGUGAAGAAGGCUUUCGGGUUGUAAAGCACUUUCAGUCGGGAGGAAAGCUGUAGGUUAAUACCCUGCAGUGUUGACGUUACCGGCAGAAGAAGCACCGGCUAACUCCGUGCCAGCACCUUCGGUGACUGAGCGGGCUGGCAAGGCGCAUA